This 435-nucleotide ribosomal RNA is filed under the name uncultured bacterium. RNAcentral's name for it is "partial 16S ribosomal RNA". It matches the Rfam family "Bacterial small subunit ribosomal RNA", at positions 28 to 507 of the family's 1533-position model. The record is from RNAcentral.
GAUGAACGCUGGCGGUAUGCUUAACACAUGCAAGUCGAACGGACUCUUCGGAGUUAGUGGCGGACGGGUGAGUAACGCGUGAGGAUCUGGCUUUGGGUUCGGGACAACCACUGGAAACGGUGGCUAAUACCGGAUGUGCCGAGAGGUAAAAGAGAAAUUGCCUGAAGAUGAGCUCGCGUCUGAUUAGCUAGUUGGUGAGGUAAAGGCUCACCAAGGCAGCGAUCAGUAGCUGGUCUGAGAGGAUGACCAGCCACACUGGGACUGAGACACGGCCCAGACUCCUGCGGGAGGCAGCAGUGGGGAAUUUUCCGCAAUGGGCGAAAGCCUGACGGAGCAAUACCGCGUGAGGGAAGAAGGCUCUUGGGUUGUAAACCUCUUUUCUUAGGGAAGAACAAAAUGACGGUACCUAAGGAAUCAGCAUCGGCUAACUCCGUG